Molecule: ribosomal RNA, 481 nt
Filed under: uncultured bacterium
Lineage: Bacteria
Description: partial 16S ribosomal RNA
Rfam family: Bacterial small subunit ribosomal RNA
Source: RNAcentral
AUUGAACGCUGGCGGCAGGCCUAACACAUGCAAGUCGAGCGGAUGAAGGGAGCUUGCUCCUGGAUUCAGCGGCGGACGGGUGAGUAAUGCCUAGGAAUCUGCCUGGUAGUGGGGGAUAACGUCCGGAAACGGGCGCUAAUACCGCAUACGUCCUGAGGGAGAAAGUGGGGGAUCUUCGGACCUCACGCUAUCAGAUGAGCCUAGGUCGGAUUGGCUAGUUGGGGGGGUAAAGGCCUACCAAGACGACGAUCCGUAACUGGUCUGGGAGGAUGAGCAGUCAUACGGGAACGAGGACACGGACCAAACUCCUAGGGGAGGCAGCGGUGGGGAAUGUUGAACGGGGGGAAAAAGCCUGAUCCAGCCAUGCCGGGUGUAAGAAAGGUCUACGGUUUGUAAAGCACUUUAGGUUGGAAGAAAGGCAGGUAAGUUAAAACCUGCCUGUUUUGCGGUAACCAACGAAAAAGCACCGGCUAACUUCGUG